Gossypium raimondii (Peruvian cotton) is the source of this 1457-nucleotide RNA transcript. RefSeq lists it as uncharacterized. NCBI's taxonomy places the organism in Eukaryota, Viridiplantae, Streptophyta, Magnoliopsida, Malvales, Malvaceae. The record is from RefSeq and is a predicted model, not a curated record. The transcript has 10 exons.
UACAGGUGGUGGACAUUUAGACCGGAGUAAAAUUGUUCGGGAUCUUAAUGAUCUGACUGGAGAAGGAAAUAUUGAGAGUAUGCUUUCAGUUGAAAUGGGCCUUAGGGAAUUAGCAUCUUUGAAGGUUGAGGAUGCUGUUGUACAGGCAUUAGGCAGGCAUAGGCGACUUGGUUAACGUUGUAUAAGCAAAUGUUGAUUUUCUUUGUGAAAUGGUUGAUAUCCUCAAAGUUGAAGUCUUGGAAGAACAGCUCAGUAGAAAGAGUGAGUCAUUGGCAGGGUUACGCCCAUCAUUAGAAAGAAUUUUGGCAGACAUUCAUGAACGCUUGACUUUUCGUGCUCGAACAUAUAUCCGUGAUGAGAUUGCAAAUUAUAUCCCGAUUAACGAAGACUUGAAUUAUCCUGCAAAACUGGAGCAUUCUGCAGACGUGGUGUCAGAAACAGCUACAAUGGAAAGCUACUUUCCUGCAAGUCAAUUCAGACCCUCAUGCUUGGUUAACGUAUUUCUGGAGAAGAGCCAAAGUGUAUGGCAUGGAAGAUGAUAUGGCGUUUUCUUUUUGUUUUGUUCUACAAUUUUCAAGUUAUUCUUGGGUCUCAUAGUUUUCUACUUUUACUCUUUUACUAAGAUUAAAUGCCAUCAGGAUUAUUGUUUCCUCUAAUAGAUCUAGCAUAUCGAUUUGAUUAAGCUUCUUUGUUUCAGCGCUUGAGAAGCUGUUAAAAGAUCAUGCUGGAAAAUAUAUGACUGGAGAUGAAGUUUCUAUGGGGUGCUUCCUGCAGCAAUAUGUGAUUAAGAAAAUGUAAAUCAGGCAGAUCUGUUUCUAGCACCACAAAUUCUGGCUGGGAUUGAACGAUUCAAUGUUGACAUGGAAACAAGAAGAGCCUGGUUGAUGCUAUUGAAAAAGGGAUUGAUCUAUGCAAACAAAUACUAGAACUGUAUAAUGAUUAUUACCAUGGCAGACUGAUGAAGUUAGUGGUAAUUGGUGGUGAGUCUUUGGAUGUACUUUAGCACUGGGUUGUUGAAUUAUUUUCUAACGUCAGACAAGGUUCUCAAGGAAAGCCAGAGUUUAAGGUGGAAGGUCCUGUCUGGAGAGCUGGUAAACUUUACAGGUUAGAGGCAGUUAAGGAUGUCCAUAUCCUUGAAUUAAGGUGGGCACUGCCUUGUCUUUUGCAAGCGUAUCUGCGGAAACCAGAAGAUUAUCUGGCUCAUCUUCUUGGCCAUGAAUUGAGAUGGAUUUCCAGCUUGGAGGAUGUAUAGAGCCUGGAGAAGUUUAUGAUAAAUAAUGUGCUUGUUGUUGCACUUAUAUUAAAUAUUGUACCCUUUUUUGCGAAAUUGUUGUAUUUUGAAAUAUCUUUAAGAUUAAGGAACUAUACUAAAUGCGGUCACAAAACUUAUGUAAUUCUAAUAUAGAAUGUAAACAAUUUUCUUAUGUAAUUCUAAUAUAGAAUGUAUCUUGUUUUAA